GAUGAACGCUGGCGGCGUGCCUAAUACAUGCAAGUCGAGCGAACGGACGAGAAGCUUGCUUUUCUGAUGUUAGCGGCGGACGGGUGAGUAACACGUGGAUAACCUACCUAUAAGACUGGGAUAACUUCGGGAAACCGGAGCUAAUACCGGAUAAUAUUUUGAACCGCAUGGUUCAAAAGUGAAAGACGGUCUUGCUGUCACUUAUAGAUGUAUCCGCGCUGCAUUAGCUAGUUGGUAAGGUAACGGCUUACCAAGGCAACGAUGCAUAGCCGACCUGAGAGGGUGAUCGGCCAAACGGGAACUGAGACACGGUCCAGAAUCCUACGGGAGGCAGCAGUAGGGAAUCUUCCGCAAUGGGCGAAAGCCUGACGGAGCAACGCCGCGUGAGUGAUGAAGGUCUUCGGAUCGUAAAACUCUGUUAUUAGGGAAGAACAUAUGUGUAAGUAACUGUGCACAUCUUGACGGUACCUAAUCAGAAAGCCACGGCUAACUACGUG
Molecule: ribosomal RNA, 497 nt
Filed under: uncultured bacterium
Lineage: Bacteria
Description: partial 16S ribosomal RNA
Rfam family: Bacterial small subunit ribosomal RNA
Source: RNAcentral